CAUUACAGUCAUUUGAUAGGUAAAUGAGUCUCCAAACACAAGACAGUGAGGUAAAGAAUAUGUGACAAUAUUAAUACUGUAUAGAAUAGAUAAGGCAUAGUCCUUGCAAUUGAAUAAUAGUGUUUGGUGAGUAAAAAGAAGGGUAAGUUAGGUUUGUUACCCAGGUGGAUGAUGGUACAAUGCACCAAGACAGGCAAUUUGAAAGUUAUCAAGAUUGAUUUUGUACUUUAAAUUUGGCACACAAUUUUAGGAAAUGUGAGUUUGAAAACUAGAAUUAUGAGUAAAAUAUAGUAGGUAGUGAAAAUCAUGGUGCAUGAAAUUGGCCAGGAGAGUGAACAGAUUAAAGUGAGAAACAGAGAUCAUGGAUAAAACUAUGUAAAAAAUAUAGAAGUUGAUGGAGGUGUGUUGGGUGGGAAUGGGAGGAGUUGAGCUAAGAUCAAAAGGAGCAGUCCUAUAUAAGUAGGAGAAAUGCCAUAAGAUUGAUGACAUGUAUCCAAAAAAGAACUGAAUCACAGUUCAUGUGUUGAUCCUAAAGUCAAGUAAUAAGGAAAGAAUAAAUUGGUAACUAAGCAGAUCACUGGAGAUGUUGGCAAGUACAAUAUCAGUAGAGUGAACAGAAGCCAGAUUAUUAUAUGAAGGAGGAACUAAUAGCAUGUUAAAGACUUUCAGGAAGUUUAAAUGAAGGGAAAAGAAUGAUUUAGGGAAUAUGUCUAUUUUAAUGACUUAGGCAAUAGGAUUUACACACAUUGGGAGUGGAUUAAAGAAGAUAUUACUAGGUAGGCUGGGUGUGGUGGCACAUGCCUAUAAUCCCAGCAGCUCUGGAGGCUGAUGCAGGAAGAUUGCGAGUUCAAAGCCAGCCUCAGCAAAAGCAAGGCACUUAGCAACUCAGUGAGACCCUCUCUGUAAAUAAAGUACAAAAUAGGGCUGGGGAUGUGUCUCAGUGGCUGAGUCCUCCUGAGUUAAAUCCCCGGUAUUAAAAAAAAAAAAAAAAGAUUACUGGGUAGAACACAUUUUUGAAAUGUUAUGAGGGAAUUCUGCAAAAAUGUAAAGAAAUUAAUCUUAACUUUAUGAAAGGGGGAAGUCUACAGAGAGAUGGGAAUGUAAAUCAGUUUGAUUGGAGGUAAAGGAAUUUCUGGUUGCUGAUGUAUUUUCACUAAGAUAGGGAAAAGGUCUCGAUUUUUAAGGUGCAGUUAACAAGCCAGAUGCAAUGGUGCAUACCUGUAUUCCCAGCAAUUCAGGAGCCUGAGGCAGGAGGAACAUAAGUUCAAAGCCAGCAUCUUAGCAAGGUCCCAAUCAAUUCAGCAAGACCCUGUCUCUAAAUAAAUAUGAAAAAGGACUGGGUGUGUGGCUCAGUGGUUAAGCACCACUGGGUUCAAUCCCUAGUACCAAAAAAAAAAAAAGAUUCAGUUAACAGCCCUUUCUAUUCAGGUGACAAAAACUUAAUCAUAGUGGCUUCAAAUCUGUGCUUCUGGGAUUGUUUUUUGUUUGUUUUGUUUUUGUUUUUGUUUUUUUCUUUUUAAGGAAAGCAGGAGUUAAUUCCUUAUUGUUUCAUUAAGAAUUCUUCACUUUUAUCAGUUUUGCAUAUUUGAAAUCUGUUACUUUAGCUUUUUUAAGGAAAGGAUUUGCUGAUCAAUUAAACUUUGAGAACUACUCAAGGACAGAGAGAAAGAACAUUUUUAAUAGAGUGAAAAGUCUAAAAUGAGACUGGAAAGAAAUGUAGGAUUGGAACAGGUAUAUGAAGGUAGAAGGAAAUAAGUAAGGAAAAAAGCAUACACUGUGGCAAGAAGGCAUGAGAGGACAUAACGUGCUGUCUGUACUACUAUAAGUAGUAUUUUUCAACUUCAUUCUCUGUUUUUUUACUAGUGUGUAGAAAUACAACUGACUUGUAUAUUGGCCUCGUAUCUUGCAAUUUUGCUCCGUUUACUUAUUUUUAGUAGUUUUGUUAUCCAACCAUGUUAUCUGUACAUGAUUACCACGUUAUAUUUUUCUUUUCCAAUUAUAACACCUUUUAUUUUUUUUUUUACACUGCAGUGCUACAUAGCAUGGUUCAAUAGAACAUUGAAUAGAAAUAAUAUUCAGUAUUUCUCCAUUUAAUAUAUUAGCAAACAAAUUGAAAUUUAUGUAUAUCUGUUAUGAAAAAGGACAUUCUCUUGUUAUGAAAAAGGACAUUACUCCUGUGUGCUGAGUUUUUAUCAUAAAAGGGAAUAGUAUUUUUGUCAUAUGCAUCUUUUGCAUUGAUUGAAAUGAUCAUAUUGUUUUUCUCUUCAUUAUUUUAAUAGAGAAUUACAUUGUCCUAAUUUUGAUGUUCUAUUCCUGAGAUAAAUCCUUUUGGGUUAUGAGGUAUCAUCAUGUAAUGUAUGUGUGUGUGUGUGUGUAUUGAUCAGGUUUCUUCCCUAGUAGUAACCUGAUUGAAGUUACCAGGAAUGUCUUCCAAAAACUUAAGAGCAGAAAUAAAUUUUUACCAUCCAAUUAUGAAGGAUGGGUGAAAUAGCAAUACCCACAGAGGAAGGGGAAAGCAAGGCCAAGAGUACUGCAGUGGUGAGAGGCUCAGGAAGAGUGAAUCCAGCAUCUGUAGGGACCCACAUGGCUGGAAUAGAGUGCUCCUGAUAAGAGAAAAAUGCUAUUUGAUAUGAAAGCCAAAAUUAGGCUGUCAGAGAUAUUUUGAAUGGUUUUUCUUUAGUCUAAAAAUGAAAGAGUUUGACAUAAUCCUAGGGGAAAUAUUAAUUGACUCUAUUUCUGGGGAGCAAAUGUUUUAAGGAGAAUUUCUGAUGGGUCAGUCAUUUCAAAGAUAAUUUGUUCAAUCUGGCUUGAGAAAUUUAUGGAAGAAUUGCUUCUUGGAGGAGUUUGGGAGUCUUUAAAAAAUGUUCUCAGAAGAAAAGAUACAGUUCUGUUCCUAGUGACAAUUGUCUGGCAUUUUGCCAAACCCCAAGCUGGUAAAAUUCUUAAUUAAAGCUCAUAUGAUAAUUAUUUUUUCAAAAUCAAUAUGUAAUCAUCUUUCAAAACCUAGGAUAAAAUUUGGUAUCUGAAGCUGUACCAAGAUGAAGCUGACUAUCUUUCCAAGCCACUGGCUACCAGAAACUCACUGAAGUGGAGGGUGGACACAAAUUUCAUACUUUGAGAAGCUUAUGGCCAAGAAGUUGCUGCUAACACUCUGGGUGAAGCAUAGAAGGGUUAUGUGAUUCAAAUCAGUGAUGGGACUGACAAGCAAGGUUUCCCCAUGAAGCAGGGUAUCUCUUGACUCAUGGCUGUGUUCACCUGCUGCUGAGUAAGGGGCAUUCCUGUUAUAGACCAAAGUAAACUGGAGAGAGAAAGCACAAAUCUGUUCAAGGUUUUAUUGUGGAUGCCAAUCUGAGCAUUCUCAACUUGGUUAUUGUAAAAAAUAAUAAUAGUAAUAAGAGAGAGAAAAGGAUAUUCCUGGACUUACUAAUACUACUGUGCCUCAUCAACUGAAUCCCAAAAGAGCUAAUAAAUUCUGCAAACUUUUCAGUCUAAGGAAGAUGAUGUCCACCGAUAUGUUGUCAGAAAAACCCUUAAACAAGGGAGAUAAAAAACCCAGGACCAAAGCACAGAAGAUUCAUCAUCUCAUUACUCUACAACACCAACAUUGAAGAAACAGUGUACUAAGAAGAAUAAGAAAAAGACUGCAGAAUAUGCCAAACAUUUGGCCAAGAGAGUGAAAGAAGCCAAAGAAAAAUGCCAGGAACAGAUUUCCAAGAGAUGCAGGCUGUCCUCUCUGAGAGCUUCCACUUCUGAAUCUGAGUCCAGUCAAAAGUAAGAAUUUUUACAAGUAACAAAUAAAUAAAAUCAGACCUUCAAAACAAUUCAGUAUCUGUUAUGGUUGAGAUCUGGAUUCCCUCAAAGGUUCAUGUUCAGAGGUAGGGCUUUUGGGAGUGAUUUGAUCAUGACAGCUCUGAUCUCACCAAUGAAUUAAUCUACUUAUAGAUUCAUUGCUGAAUGGACUAAUAAUGAAAAGGAGGUGAUGAAAGUUGUAUGGGGUGGAACUAGUUAAAGAGAGUAAUUCCUUGUGGGCAUUCCCUGGGGGACUGUAUAGUGUUUUUGGCCUCUUCCUCCCACUCCUCUGCUACUUGCUUAUGUGAGGUAAACAGAUUCACUCCACAACUUGCUCCCUGCCAUGACAUGGUGCCUCACCUUAAGCCCACAGUGAUGGAACUAAGCAACUAUGACCUGAAACCUCUAGCUGUGAACCAAACUGAAUCUUUCCUUUCAGCUGAUUUUCUCAGGUAUUUUAUCAGUGAUGAAAAGCUCACUAGAGUAUCAUGUAUGUCAGUCUGUCUCAAGUUGUUAAAAUCGACUUUUACAUAACAACAUUUCCCAUAGAAAAUGAAAGGGUUUUUUUUAUUUUGAAAUAACUUUCUGAGCUGGGUGCAGUGGAGCACACCUGUAAUCCCAGAAGCUCAGGAGGCUGAGGCAGGAGGAUCGAAAGUUCAAAGCCACCCUCUGCAAAAGUGAGGCACUAAGCAACUCAGUGAGACCCUGUCUCUAAAUAUAAUACAAAAUAGAGCUAGGAAUGUAGCUCAGUGGCUGAGUGCCCUUGAGUUCAAUCCCUAGUACAAAAAAAAAAAAUCUUGAGAAAUAAUUUUCUGUGAGAGAGCAAUGAACAGAAUCAAGAGAACUGUGUAUUUUCUAGCCUGAAUUCUGUUUCAAGUUACAUAAUUUCUGUCUUCUUCAACUUCAAAAAUUCCAUAGUGGUGUUUGGUAUCCUGCUUUAUGGAUUUAAUGAUAUGGGUAAACUCAAAAUUUUAAAUGUUUAUAUGCAUUUUUGUAUAAGACCACCAAGGUGAGUAGUAGAAAACAAAGAACUAUAAAGAAAUAGUACUACUUCUAUGUUAUUGUUGCUAACAUUAUUGUGUAUUGUUGGAUUCAAAUAACUAAAUUUUAUGCUCUAUGAAAUAAAUUUCCACC
Molecule: long non-coding RNA, 4923 nt
Filed under: Marmota monax (woodchuck)
Lineage: Eukaryota; Metazoa; Chordata; Mammalia; Rodentia; Sciuridae
Source: RNAcentral